This 326-nucleotide ribosomal RNA is filed under the name uncultured bacterium. Its description in RNAcentral is "bacterial SSU rRNA". It matches the Rfam family "Bacterial small subunit ribosomal RNA", at positions 773 to 1079 of the family's 1533-position model. The record is from RNAcentral.
ACGGAAUAGAUACCCCGGGUAGUCCACGCCCUAAACGAUGUCUACUAGUUGCUGGGAGAGUAAAAACUCUCUUAGUAAACCGCAGCUAAACGCGUGAAGUAGACCGCCUGGGGUAGUACGGUCGCAAGAUUAAAAACCUCAAACGGAAUUGACGGGGGUCCCGCACAAGCGGUGGAUUAUGUGGAUUAAUUCGAUGCAACGCGAAAAACCCUUACCUGGCCUUGACAUGCUACUAACCGAAGCAGAGAUGCAUUAGGUGCCCGAAAGGGUAAACGUAGACACAGGUGCUGCAUGGCUGUCGUCAGCUCGUGUCGUGAGAUGUUGGG